This 530-nucleotide ribosomal RNA is filed under the name uncultured bacterium. Its description in RNAcentral is "bacterial SSU rRNA". It matches the Rfam family "Bacterial small subunit ribosomal RNA", at positions 777 to 1304 of the family's 1533-position model. The record is from RNAcentral.
AAUAGAUACCCCGGUAGUCCACGCCGUAAACGAUGAGUGCUAAGUGUUAGAGGGUUUCCGCCCGUUUAGUGCUGCAGCUAACGCAUUAAGCACUCCGCCUGGGGAGUACGGCCGCAAGGCUGAAACUCAAAGGAAUUGACGGGGGCCCGCACAAGCGGUGGAGCAUGUGGUUUAAUUCGAAGCAACGCGAAGAACCUUACCAGGUCUUGACAUCCUCUGCCAACCCUAGAGAUAGGGCGUUCCCCUUCGGGGGACAGAGUGACAGGUGGUGCAUGGUUGUCGUCAGCUCGUGUCGUGAGAUGUUGGGUUAAGUCCCGCAACGAGCGCAACCCUUGAUCUUAGUUGCCAGCAUUCAGUUGGGCACUCUAAGGUGACUGCCGGUGACAAACCGGAGGAAGGUGGGGAUGACGUCAAAUCAUCAUGCCCCUUAUGACCUGGGCUACACACGUGCUACAAUGGAUGGUACAAAGAGCUGCGAACCCGCGAGGGUAAGCCAAUCUCAUAAAGCCAUUCUCAGUUCGGAUUGUAGG